Long non-coding RNA from Argiope bruennichi, 1448 nucleotides. RefSeq lists it as uncharacterized. Lineage: Eukaryota; Metazoa; Arthropoda; Arachnida; Araneae; Araneidae. The transcript has 3 exons. The record is from RefSeq and is a predicted model, not a curated record.
AAUGUUCUUUUCCGUUAAUAAAAGAGCUAUGAUAUGAAAUCAAGGUCAUUAAUUGUAAUUAAGGACACUGAUUAAUACACUUUUUUGUGAGUAUAUCACUCAUCUGGGGAUCUUUUGAUCAUUUGUUUAAUAGAAAAGGCGUCCGCAACGAUAUUUUUACUGACAUUGUUUACAUUCCUGGCUUUAGGCGACAGGAUACUGUUUUUGAAUACAAACAUGUUUAAACAGCUAAGGGCUUCUUGAAAGAGGACUUUUUUUUUUUAUAGCAGAAGAAAUUGGGGAGGCACUGCCUGAUAAGGUAAAAAUUUCUGAACUGAAAGAUAUUUUGAAAAGCAAAGAGUAUUUGGAUGAUCCAGACUUUGUGACAAAUAUUUUUUGUGACGGCCGAGAGCCAGCGAAAACUAAAAGAACAAAAGCGAACAUAAUUUGAAAAAGCGGAAAGAUUAAAACAGCUGGAAUACGAAGUGGAAAAAUAAGAGAACACCAACUGGAAUUUUCGAGAAUCAGAGCAACAUUGCCAAUUACAUGCGAGUCUCAAAAUAUUGUUAUAUCUGGCACUAAAAAGAAAUUUUAUCUGCCAAAAUUAGAAUUUAGACAGUUUAAUGGCGAUAUUAAAGAUUGGCUAUAAUUUUGGAGCCAAUUUCAACAUAUUCAUGACGAUGAUGAAAUCGCGCCUGAGAACAAAUUUCAAUAUCUUGUGCAAGCUACUGUAAAUGGAUCUCGAGCCCGAGAAGUAUUAGAAAGCUUCUCGGCAACAGCAGCCAAUUAUGCCAAAGCAGUUAAAAGUUUAAAAGCGCGAUUUGGUAGAGAUGAACUAUUAGUAGAGGUUUAUGUUCGGGAAGUUUUAAAGCUGAUAAUUUCGGUUCAAAAACAUGAGAGAAUAUCGAUGACAUCCCUCUGUGAUAAACUUGAAUCUCAUCUGAGAGCCUUAGAGACUUUAGGAGUGACUACUGAUAAAUGUGCUUCAAUUCUUUAUCCCAUGGCGGAGUCUUGUUUUCAAGAGGAUUUUCUGAAAGCAUGGAAUAGAAGUGCUUCUUUAACAGCCUCAACUGAUGCUAAUGAACGUUUAACCAAUUUAAUGACUUUCCUUAAAGCGGAACGGAAGGCGAAAAAAGAAUUAAUUUGGCUAUGGCUGGUUUUGGCUUGGCUGCAGAUGAAAAUCGCCAAUCAUUUAACAAAAAAGUAAGAGAUUUUCCAAUGAAAAAGGUACCUACAGCUGCCAAUUUAUUGACUACAGCUUCAAAAGAAGUGAAGAAUAAAUGUGUUUUCUGUACUGGGAAACACUCGAGCCCAGACUGUUUUCAACCUCAGAUGAGUUUGGCUGAAAGAGCGUGAAAUUUGUGGGUCAUAUUAUCUGAGGAGAAUGUUUUUCAUAAAAAUUUAAGAGCGUGAAAUUUGUGGGUCAUAUUAUCUGAGGAGAAUGUUUUUCAUAAAAAUUUAAGGUUUGU